CAUCGGCUUCUCCGCGACGACCAGUCGUGAAUCCCGUCAGGGCCGGAAGGCAGCAGCGGCAGCGGCGAUGUCGGGUGCCGGAUAAGAGCUGGUGCGG
RNAcentral lists this signal recognition particle RNA (97 nucleotides) under Gammaproteobacteria bacterium. RNAcentral describes it as "signal recognition particle sRNA small type". It matches the Rfam family "Bacterial small signal recognition particle RNA". From Rfam's summary of the family: The signal recognition particle (SRP) is a universally conserved ribonucleoprotein involved in the co-translational targeting of proteins to membranes. Archaeal SRP consists of a 7S RNA and homologues of the eukaryotic SRP19 and SRP54 proteins. The record is from RNAcentral. Lineage: Bacteria; Pseudomonadati; Pseudomonadota; Gammaproteobacteria.